GGGCAGGCUUCUCUAUUGGCAGCAAGGCCUACCAUCAACCUUGCAUAGAAGAAUGUGAUUCGAGUAGAAGGAGUUGGAACACUCCGCCAAAGACGGUGAAAGCCCGGUAUACCAAGAAUCACAACCUUUUAUAUUUGUACGAGAUUUUCUCCAGAUCAUUUAUGAUUUGAAGAAAAUCUCCUAGUGUCAAGUAGGUCGGGACACGAGAAACCCUGACUGAAUCUGGGACGACCACGUCCCAAGGCUAAAUAUGAUAUACGAUCGAUAGUGAACGAGUACCGUGAGGGAAAGGUGAAAAGAACCCCGGAAGGGGAGUGAAAUAGAACCUGAAAUUAUGUGCGUACAAGGAGUCGGAGUCCCGCACAUAGACCUUGAUUGACAGCUAAGCUUACACAGUUUAGUGAGUCGUUAUGAUCGAGAGCUAUGUGCGGGAUGACGGCGUGCUUUUUGUAGAACGAUCCAGCGAGUUAUCGAUUAUUGCAAGCAUAAGUUUUAUAACGGAUGCGCAGUGAAAGCGAGCCUGAAUAGGGCGUAGAGGUCUCGUGCCUGGACAAAAACAAGACAUGAGAGCUAAAAUCAGAGUCUAAAACGACGAAAAAAUUUUGAGCAGUAUCGCCAAUACAGCUCAAACAUUUUUUCAUUCGUUUGUAGGCAACUGAUUUGAGCUCGCAAUGCUGUUUUUACCAGACACGAGACCUCUCCAGUAAUAAUUGAUAGACCCGAAACCAAGUGACCUAACCAUGGGCAGGUUGAAGCGUGGGUGAAACCACGUGGAGGACCGAACCAGGGAGCCCCACAACGCUCUUGGAUGACCUGUGGUUAGCGGUGAAAUGCCAAUCGAACUUGGAGAUAGCUGGUUCUCCUCGAAAUAGCUUUAGGGCUAGCGUCGUACGGUAACUGAUUGGGGUAGAGCUCUGUUUCGGACUGGGGCGGGCAACCGUACUCACCCUUGACAAACUACGAAUACAAUCAGUGAAACUACGGCAGUUAGAACGUCGGGGCUAAGCUCGGCGCUCGAAAGGGAAACAGCCCAGACCAUCAUCUAAGGUCCCUAAGUCUAUGCUAAGUGGGAAACGAGGUGAGAUUUCUUAAACAACGAGGAUGUUGGCUUAGAAGCAGCCAUUCAUUUAAAGAGUGCGUAACAGCUCACUCGUCAAGAGAUCUCGCGCGGAAAAUGUAACGGGGCUAAGCAUAGCACCGAAGAUAUGGAUGUCACACAUUUAGUGUGGCGUGGUAGAGGAGCGUUGAUAUUGCAUCGAAGUCGAACUGCGAGGUUCGGUGGAGCGGUAUCAAGUGAGAAUGCUGGAAUGAGUAACCAUAAGGCAGGUGAGAAUCCUGCCCACCGAAAGAGCAAGGUUUCCUGGGCCACGGUAAUCGUCCCAGGGUUAGUCGGUCCUAAGCCGAGGCGCGUAGCGUAGGCGAUGGACAACGGGUUAAUAUUCCCGUACCAGUUAUAUAUUAGUGUAGCGUGCGCAUCAUGUUAGCAAGAGCGGAUUUAUGGUUAUAUCCGUCUAAUCUCGUUUUACGACGAGAGAAUGAAAGACCUUUUUGGUCGAUUCUUGUGAGGGUGGUGACUAGAAAAGCGACUACACAUGCGUAUAUAGCUGACCGUACCGCAAACCAACACAGGUGCUCAGGUCGAGAAGACCAAGGUGUACGAGUGAUUCUUCGUCAAGGAACUCGGCAAUACAGCGACCGUAACUUCGGGAUAAGGUCUGCCCCGUCACUAUGUUUAUAAACGUAGUGACAGAUAUUGCAGUUUUCUAAAAUGAUAUUGUUGUGAGUUUUUUUCGAGAUAACAAAUCAAGCCAGAAAGCUGACUUCUGAUCCAUGCUUUUCAUGGGCAUUGCAUUUGGAUGUAGCGUGAAAUUUUACUACCGAAACGGAGCAAAGCGUACUUUUUGUACGCUGAAGCGAGUAUCGGAUAGUACAAAUAUUUGCGAUACGCCAAAAACACUAACAGAUUAAUAGGUAAUCUAUUAAACAGGUUAGUGUGAUGCAUUGGCCAUGUUUUGUAGAUAUGGUGACGGGGCCGCAGCUAAGGCGCCCAGGCAACUGUUUACCAAAAACACAGGUCUCUGCUAACACGAAAGUGGAUGUAUAGGGGCUGACUCCUGCCCGGUGCUGGAAGGUUAAGGGGACGACUUCACGGUCUGAACUGAAGCCCCAGUGAACGGCGGCGGUAACUAUAACCGUCCUAAGGUAGCGAAAUUCCUUGUCAGGUAAGUUCUGACCCGCACGAAUGGAGUAAUGAUUUGGGCACUGUCUCGACGAA
This 2275-nucleotide ribosomal RNA is filed under the name Spirochaetaceae bacterium. Its description in RNAcentral is "bacterial LSU rRNA". It matches the Rfam family "Bacterial large subunit ribosomal RNA", at positions 290 to 2028 of the family's 2925-position model. Lineage: Bacteria; Pseudomonadati; Spirochaetota; Spirochaetia; Spirochaetales; Spirochaetaceae. The record is from RNAcentral.